Molecule: ribosomal RNA, 492 nt
Filed under: uncultured bacterium
Lineage: Bacteria
Description: partial 16S ribosomal RNA
Rfam family: Bacterial small subunit ribosomal RNA
Source: RNAcentral
AGUGAACGCUGGCGGUAGGCCUAACACAUGCAAGUCGAACGGCAGCACAGUAAGAGCCUGCUCUUACGGGUGGCGAGUGGCGGACGGGUGAGGAAUACAUCGGAAUCUACUUUUUCGUGGGGGAUAACGUAGGGAAACUUACGCUAAUACCGCAUACGACCUACGGGUGAAAGCAGGGGAUCUUCGGACCUUGCGCGAUUGAAUGAGCCGAUGUCGGAUUAGCUAGUUGGCGGGGUAACGGCCCACCAAGGCGACGAUACGUAGCUGGUCUGAGAGGAUGAUCAGCCACACUGGAACUGAGACACGGUCCAGACUCCUACGGGAGGCAGCAGUGGGGAAUAUUGGACAAUGGGCGCAAGCCUGAUCCAGCCAUACCGCGUGGGUGAAGAAGGCCUUCGGGUUGUAAAGCCCUUUUGUUGGGAAAGAAAAGAAGCAGGUUAAUACCCCGCUGUUCUGACGGUACCCAAAGAAUAAGCACCGGCUAACUUCGUG